CUCUUGAUGCCUCUACGGUUGAGAUUUUUGAAACACUCGACAUAGGAGAAGAGUGAUGAGAACGGCCUCUCUUUCAAUGAGGAUGAGGAAUUUGGUCUGUCCAAAAACAUUUUCUCUUACUUUCCUUAAGGUAACGCACUAGUGGGAUUAGGAUAUCCGAUAUUGUAUGACAAUUGAAGACCACUAUGGUUUAAAGUGGGCCGCAGUUUAUAAAUAGAAUCCAGUCAGAGCCCAAUAUGACUGUCAAAAGAAAUCAUCUUUCAUCGAAGCAAACUAUAAAGUCUAUAACCCCACUUUGACACUUUCCCUACUACACACAU
This is a long non-coding RNA of Arabidopsis thaliana (thale cress), 320 nucleotides long. RefSeq annotates it as other RNA. The transcript has a single exon. Lineage: Eukaryota; Viridiplantae; Streptophyta; Magnoliopsida; Brassicales; Brassicaceae. The record is from RefSeq.